This 483-nucleotide ribosomal RNA is filed under the name uncultured bacterium. RNAcentral describes it as "partial 16S ribosomal RNA". It matches the Rfam family "Bacterial small subunit ribosomal RNA", at positions 28 to 506 of the family's 1533-position model. The record is from RNAcentral.
AUUGAACGCUGGCGGCAUGCUUUACACAUGCAAGUCGAACGGCAGCGCGGGCUUCGGCCUGGCGGCGAGUGGCGAACGGGUGAGUAAUGCAUCGGAACGUGCCCAGUAGUGGGGGAUAGCCCGGCGAAAGCCGGAUUAAUACCGCAUACGACCUGAGGGUGAAAGCGGGGGACCGAAAGGCCUCGCGCUAUUGGAGCGGCCGAUGUCGGAUUAGCUAGGUGGUGGGGUAAAGGCUUACCAAGGCGACGAUCCGUAGCUGGUCUGAGAGGACGACCAGCCACACUGGGACUGAGACACGGCCCAGACUCCUACGGGAGGCAGCAGUGGGGAAUUUUGGACAAUGGGGGCAACCCUGAUCCAGCCAUGCCGCGUGCGGGAAGAAGGCCUUCGGGUUGUAAACCGCUUUUGUUCGGGAAGAAAUCCUCUGGGCUAAUACCCCGGGGGGAUGACGGUACCGGAAGAAUAAGCACCGGCUAACUACGU